Molecule: unclassified non-coding RNA, 284 nt
Filed under: Hevea brasiliensis (rubber tree)
Lineage: Eukaryota; Viridiplantae; Streptophyta; Magnoliopsida; Malpighiales; Euphorbiaceae
Source: RNAcentral
GAUUAUGUUCCUGUAACUUAUGUGAAUGAGGUGAACUGGUAUCAAGAGUUAAUGAGGUUUGCUCCAACGGCCUUGCUUUUAGGGACACUCUGGUUCAUGGGGCGAGGAAUGCAGAGUGGUCUUGGUGUUGGUGGUUCCGGUGGACGAGGGGGUCGUGGAAUAUUUAACAUGGGAAGGGCACAUUUCACGAAAAUGGAUAAGAAUGCCAAAGAUAAGGUAUUCUUUAAAGAUGUAGCUGGGUGUGAUGAGGCAAAGCAAGAAAUUAUGGAGUUUGUGCACUUCCU